This 172-nucleotide non-coding RNA is filed under the name Fusobacterium polymorphum. RNAcentral describes it as "Lysine riboswitch". It matches the Rfam family "Lysine riboswitch aptamer". Rfam says of the family: Riboswitches are metabolite binding domains within certain messenger RNAs that serve as precision sensors for their corresponding targets. Allosteric rearrangement of mRNA structure is mediated by ligand binding, and this results in modulation of gene expression. The record is from RNAcentral. Lineage: Bacteria; Fusobacteriati; Fusobacteriota; Fusobacteriia; Fusobacteriales; Fusobacteriaceae.
AAAAUAGAGGUGCAUAUAUGUAGGUAGUGUGAAGAUGUUAAGGUAUAAGCCACCAAUGCUUCAUCACAAAGGGCAUAGUUGCCGAAAGAAAAUUAAUUGCUUAUGACUAAUUUUCUUGGUCAAUGUCAACAAGCAUUGACUGUCAUAUUCGUUGAAUAUGGAGAGCUAUUUA